AGUAUGAAGAGUUUGAUCCUGGAUCAGGUUGAACGCUAGCGUCAGGCUUAACACAUGCAUGUCGAGGGGCAGCACGGUGUAGCAAUACACUGGUGGCGACCGGCGCACGGGUGAGUAACACGUGUGCAACCAACCCCGUACCGGGAGAUAACCCGCGGAAACGUGGACUAACAUCCCAUGAUACUCGAGAGCCGCAUGGCUCUCGAUUUAAAAUUCCGGUGGUACGGGACGGGCACGCGCGACAUUAGGUAGUUGGCGGGGUAACGGCCCACCAAGCCGACGAUGUCUAGGGGUUCUGAGAGGAAGGUCCCCCACACUGGAACUGAG
RNAcentral lists this ribosomal RNA (327 nucleotides) under Butyricimonas sp. RNAcentral describes it as "bacterial SSU rRNA". It matches the Rfam family "Bacterial small subunit ribosomal RNA", at positions 1 to 323 of the family's 1533-position model. The record is from RNAcentral. Lineage: Bacteria; Pseudomonadati; Bacteroidota; Bacteroidia; Bacteroidales; Odoribacteraceae.